This 484-nucleotide ribosomal RNA is filed under the name uncultured bacterium. RNAcentral's name for it is "partial 16S ribosomal RNA". It matches the Rfam family "Bacterial small subunit ribosomal RNA", at positions 29 to 507 of the family's 1533-position model. The record is from RNAcentral.
AUUGAACGCUGGCGGCAUGCUUUACACAUGCAAGUCGAACGGCAGCGCGGGCUUCGGCCUGGCGGCGAGUGGCGAACGGGUGAGUAAUACAUCGGAACGUGCCCAGUAGUGGGGGAUAGCUCGGCGAAAGCCGGAUUAAUACCGCAUACGACCUGAGGGUGAAAGCGGGGGAUCUUCGGACCUCGCGCUAUUGGAGCGGCCGAUGGCAGAUUAGCUAGUUGGUGGGGUAAAGGCCUACCAAGGCGACGAUCUGUAGCUGGUCUGAGAGGACGACCAGCCACACUGGGACUGAGACACGGCCCAGACUCCUACGGGAGGCAGAAGUGGGGAAUUUUGGACAAUGGGCGAAAGCCUGAUCCAGCAAUGCCGCGUGUGUGAUGAAGGCCUUCGGGUUGUAAAGCACUUUUGGCGGGAACGAAAAGGACUGUGCCAAUACCACGGUUCGAUGACGGUACCCGCAGAAUAAGCACCGGCUAACUACGUG